UCCAGACUCCUACGGGAGGCAGCAGUGAGGAAUAUUGGUCAAUGGGCUUACGCCUGAACCAGCCAAGUCGCGUGAGGGAAGACUGCCCUAUGGGUUGUAAACCUCUUUUGUCAGGGAGCAACGCCGGCUACGUGUAGCCGGACUGAGAGUACCUGAAGAAAAAGCAUCGGCUAACUCCGUGCCAGCAGCCGCGGUAAUACGGAGGAUGCGAGCGUUAUCCGGAUUUAUUGGGUUUAAAGGGUGCGUAGGCGGGAUGCCAAGUCAGCGGUAAAAUCGCGGGGCUCAACCUCGCUCCGCCGUUGAAACUGGGGAUCUAGAGUGUGCGAGAGGUAUGCGGAAUGCGUGGUGUAGCGGUGAAAUGCAUAGAUAUCACGCAGAACCCCGAUUGCGAAGGCAGCAUACCGGUGCACAACUGACGCUCAGGCACGAAAGCGUGGGUAUCGAACAGGAUUAGAUACCCGGGUAA
Molecule: ribosomal RNA, 466 nt
Filed under: uncultured bacterium
Lineage: Bacteria
Description: bacterial SSU rRNA
Rfam family: Bacterial small subunit ribosomal RNA
Source: RNAcentral